UCCGUAGGUGAACCUGCGGAAGGAUCAUUACCUAGAGUUGCGGGCUUUGCCUGCCAUCUCUUACCCAUGUCUUUUGAGCACCUUCGUUUCCUCGGCGGGUCCGCCCGCCGUCAGGACACUUCAAAACCACUUGCAGUUGCAAUCAGCGUCCGAAAAAACUUUAAUAGUUACAACUUUCAACAACGGAUCUCUUGGUUCUGGCAUCGAUGAAGAACGCAGCGAAAUGCGAUAAGUAGUGUGAAUUGCAGAAUUCAGUGAAUCAUCGAAUCUUUGAACGCACAUUGCGCCCCUUGGUAUUCCAUGGGGCAUGCCUGUUCGAGCGUCAUUUGUACCCUCAAGCUCUGCUUGGUGUUGGGUGUUUGUCUCGCCUCCGCGCGUAGACUCGCCUCAAAACAAUUGGCAGCCGGCGUAUUGAUUUCGGAGCGCAGUACAUCUCGCGCAUCGCACUCACAACGUCAGCGUCCAGAAGUGAAUUUUUUACACUCUUGACCUCGGAUCAGGUAGGGAUACCCGCUGAACUUAAGCAUAUCAAUAAGCGGAGGA
RNAcentral lists this ribosomal RNA (543 nucleotides) under Phoma sp. Zo-Laiwu. RNAcentral's name for it is "eukaryotic LSU rRNA". The stretch from base 172 to 325 matches the Rfam family "5.8S ribosomal RNA". Lineage: Eukaryota; Fungi; Ascomycota; Dothideomycetes; Pleosporales; Didymellaceae. The record is from RNAcentral.